RNAcentral lists this ribosomal RNA (170 nucleotides) under uncultured bacterium. RNAcentral describes it as "partial 16S ribosomal RNA". It matches the Rfam family "Bacterial small subunit ribosomal RNA", at positions 338 to 524 of the family's 1533-position model. The record is from RNAcentral.
CCUACGGGAGGCAGCAGUGGGGAAUAUUGCACAAUGGGGGAAACCCUGAUGCAGCAACGCCGCGUGAGCGAUGAAGGCCUUCGGGUUGUAAAGCUCUGUCUUCUCUGACGAAGUAUGACGGUAAGAGAGGAGGAAGCCACGGCUAACUACGUGCCAGCAGCCGCGGUAAU